Molecule: transfer RNA, 76 nt
Filed under: Catenisphaera adipataccumulans
Lineage: Bacteria; Bacillati; Bacillota; Erysipelotrichia; Erysipelotrichales; Erysipelotrichaceae
Also listed under: 2 other names
Description: tRNA-Ala
Rfam family: tRNA
About the family: Transfer RNA (tRNA) molecules are approximately 80 nucleotides in length. Their secondary structure includes four short double-helical elements and three loops (D, anti-codon, and T loops).
Source: RNAcentral
GGGGUGUUAGCUCAGCUGGGAGAGCACCUGCUUUGCAAGCAGGGGGUCAUCGGUUCGAUCCCGAUACGCUCCACCA